RNAcentral lists this unclassified non-coding RNA (375 nucleotides) under uncultured bacterium. RNAcentral describes it as "contains 16S-23S intergenic spacer region". The record is from RNAcentral.
UCCGGUUUGGCACCGGCAGUCCUCCCAGAGUCCUCGGCAUGACCCGGUAGCAACUGGGAGCGGGGGUUGCGCUCGUUGCGGGACUUAACCCAACAUCUCACGGCACGAGCUGACGACAGCCAUGCAGCACCUGUGCUAGCCCUAUAACGACACGGGCUUUCACCCGCUUUAACUAGCAUGUCAAACCCAGGUAAGGUCUUCGCGUUGCAUCAAAUUGAGCCACAUGCUCCGCUGCUUGUGCGGGCCCCCGUCAAUUCCUUUGAGUUUCAGUCUUGCGACCGUACUCCCCAGGCGGAGUGCUUAAUGCGUUAGCUGCAGCACUAAAGGGCGGAAACCCUCUAACACUUAGCACUCAUCGUUUACGGCGUGGACUAC